This 403-nucleotide ribosomal RNA is filed under the name uncultured bacterium. RNAcentral describes it as "partial 16S ribosomal RNA". It matches the Rfam family "Bacterial small subunit ribosomal RNA", at positions 28 to 526 of the family's 1533-position model. The record is from RNAcentral.
GACGAACGCUGGCGGCGUGCCUAAUACAUGCAAGUCGAACGCAGUGGGGACGGGUGAGGAACACGUGGGUAACCUCCCAUCAGAGGGGAUAACACUUGGAAACAGGUGCUAAACCGAUAGUGAUGGAUGGACCCGCGGGGCAUUAGCUAGUUGGUGAGGUAACGGCUCACCAAGGCCACGAUGCAUCGCCCACCGGAGAGGGUGAUCGGCAACACUGGGACUGGGACACGCCCCAGACUCCUACGGGAGGCAGCAGUAGGAAAUCGUCGGCAAUGGACGAAAGUCUGACCGAGCAACGCCGCGUUAGUGAAGAAGGUUUUCGGAUCGUAAAACUCUGUUGUUAGAGAAGCGGUAUCUAACCAGACAGCCACGGCUAACUACGUGCCAGCAGCCGCGGUAAUAC